Long non-coding RNA from Mobula hypostoma (lesser devil ray), 3763 nucleotides. RefSeq lists it as uncharacterized. NCBI's taxonomy places the organism in Eukaryota, Metazoa, Chordata, Chondrichthyes, Myliobatiformes, Myliobatidae. The transcript has 5 exons. The record is from RefSeq and is a predicted model, not a curated record.
CGUCCGCCCACUCUAGCGUCUGAUGUCAUUGCAAGCGUGAUGACGUUUACGGAAGUGUUGCAGCGAGAGAAGCAAAGUUUGGGCCGGGUCGUUCGGCGGGCCUGACGGGGCAGAAUGCUGAAUGAAGUGACAAAGUAUCCCCGGCACUUAUUUUCAUUGAAAAGAUAUUGCCAUUCCGUCGUUGUGGUGGCUGGGUCGAAAUCCUGGAACUCCAACGCCAUCCCCAUCAGGAGUGCAGAGAUCCUUAACCAGAAGAAGUGCAGUUGUUCCGGAUGCAUUCACUGUCACUUCCUUUGCGGCAAUGGUGGAUGUGCCGUAAAAUCUGGCAUUGGUAAUGAAGUGUGGAUUCUGAAAAGUCAAUAACUGAAGACAGCAUUAUAGACUGCUACAGCACAGUGCAGGUCGUUCGGGCUAACCACUCCCUCCUAAAUCACCCUCUACUUUUCUAAAAUCUAUGUGCCUAUCUAAAAAUCCCUUUCAUGUCCCCAAUGUAUCUGCCUUUACCACCACCCUGGCAGUCAGUGUGUUCCACGCACCACUCUCUGUGCUUAAAAACAAUCUUACACCUGAUGUCCCCCUGUACUUUUCUCCGGUCACCUUAAAAUGAUGCCCUCUCGUAUCAGCCAUUUCUGCACUGGGAGGAAAGGUCUCUGGCUGUCCUUCUUGCGAGCCUUCAAGUGUAACUGAAGUUGACUUCAGCUUGUGAUGAUGUGUUCCCCUUUUCGGCAUCAUACGUGAUUGUGCAGGAUGAUGGCAGUUCCAUUUAUGCAAGAUUGGGAUCUGCUGCAGACUUUGGGUGAUAAUGGUGAGCAUAUGUUAGACCUGCGGUGAGAGAUUUAUUGGUAGAAAAACCCCAACUGGAAGCAAACCACGACUGAAGACAAGGGAACAGCAACAAGUGAACCAGCCCGAGGAUUGUCAGCAUCAACGGGAGAGAACCCAUCUGACUCGGACAUUCCAGUGAUUCAGUCAGGAGAAAGUUUGGUUAAAAAUGACGAGGAAUUUGUUUCCGGGAAUCUCGAACACAACACACCAGUUUUGCUGUCUCUGUCCGGACAUUUAAUAAGUGGAGCAAGAGAUUCACUCGAUCAUCUGACCUGCUGGCAUGCCUGUCAUUUUACACAGGGGGGAGCCCAUUCAUUUGCUCAGACAGUAGGAAUGGAUCAGUCGGUCAUCUCCACUGAAGGUACAUCAGCAAAUUCACACUGGGACAAGGAUAUUCACCUGUUUUGUGUGUGAGAAGGGAUUCAGUCGGUCUUCCCACCUGUGGACACACCAGUCAGUUCACACUGGGCAGACGCUGGUUAUAUGCUGAAUUUUUGGGGAAGGAUUCACUCAGUUGUCUGACCUAAUGGCACACCAGCGAGUUCAAACUGGGGAGCGACCAUUCACCUGCUCAGUGUGUGGGAAGGGAUUCACUCUGUCAUCUCGCCUACUGACACACCUGUCAGUUCACAUUGGGGAGAGGCCAUUCACCUGCUCAGUGUGUGGGACGGGAUUCACUCGAUCAUCUCAUCAACAGAGACACCGAUGCAUUGGGAUCAAGAGCGCCGAUGAAGGGUCUUGGCCCAAAAUGUUGAUUCCCAUCCAUAGAUGCUGCCUGACAUGCUGAGCUCCUCCAGCAGUUUGUGUGUCGUUCUCUAGAUUUCUAGCAUCUGCAGGUCCUCUUGUUUCCCAGAUACUUAUAUGCUUCUUGAAAGAACAUGCCAAGAACAAGCUGAUAGUGGGAUUGUGUGGAUCUGUUGGUAAAAUAUUAAAUAAAAUCAUUAGAAAGACCUGGCAUAGGGUUGGAAGGUGUCGAAUCUGUGGGUAGAAUUAAGGAACAGCAAAUGUAAAAAAAAAAUCCCUGAUGGGAAUUGUAUAGAGACCCCCAAACAGUAGUAAGUAUGUGGUCCACAAAUUACAAUGGGAGAUAGAAAAUGUGUGCCAAAAGGGCAAUGUUACGAAACUCAUGGGGGAUUGUCAUGCAGGUGAUUAGGAAAAUUAGGACGGUGUUGGUCUCAAGAUGAGGAAUUCCUGGAAUGCCAACAAGAUGCUUUUUUAGAGCAGCUCGUGGUUGAGCCCACUUGGGGAUCAACUAUUCUGGAUUGGGUGUUGUAAUGAAGCAGAAUUAAUUAGGUCACUUAAAUUCAAAGAACCCUUAGGGGCAAGUGAUCUUUAUAUGAUCAAAUUCACCCUGACAUUAGAGAAGGAGAAGCUAAAGUCAGAUGAGGAAUAAAGAGAAUUAGAGAGGCAUAAGAGAUAAACUGGUCAAAAUUGAUUUGAAAAGAACAUGGGCAGGGAUAAAAACAGAGCAGCAAUGGCAGGAAUUUCUGGAAGCAAUUCAGAAGGCACAGGAUAUAUACAGUGCCAUGCAAAUGUUUGGGCACCCCUGGUCAAAAUUUCUGUUACUGUGAAUAGCUAAGUGAGUAAAAGAUGACCUGAUUUCCAAAAGGGACAAAGUUAAAUAUGGCACAUUUCUUUAAUAUUUUAAGCAGGAUUACAUUUUUAUUUCCAUUGUUUACAGUUUCAAAAUAGCAAGAAAGGAAAAGGGCCCGAAGCAAAAGUUUGGGCUACCUGCAUGGUCAGUGCUUAGUAACACCCCCUUGACAAGUAUCACAGCUUGUAAACGCUUUCUGUAGCCAGCUAAGAGUCUUUCAGUUCUUGUUUGGGUAAAUUUCUGGGUUCAGUCAUUAGCAGCAAAGCACUGACUGUGGAAAUUACAGAUCAGAAUAUUAUUAGAGUCACAGAGCCCAGCAGCACUGAAACAGGCCCUUCGGCCCUUCUAGUCAAUGCUGACCUGUUUAUGUUUUUACUGCCUAGUUCCAACUAUGUGCACCAUAGCCUCCAUACACCUCCCAUCCAUCUCAUCACCCAAAUUUCUCUUUAGUGUCUAAAUCGAACCCACAUCCACCACUUUCACUGGCAGCUCAUUCCACACUCCCACCAACCUCUGAGUGUAGAAUUCCCCUUCAGACUCCCCUCAAAGAAUUCACUUUCACCCUGAACUUAUGUCCAAUGUGGGGGUGAGAGGGAGGAUGGGGUGGAGAGGGAAGACAGUAAGGGGACAGUAAUGUUGCCUCCUUACAACAAAACUAACCCUCUCACUGUGUCAGAAUCAAUGAUUAAAUCCAGCCCCAAACACCGUACUUUCAUCGCUGCACAUUGUAACUUGAACCAUCUCACUGAGGGUCUGAUGGAGACACAACCCCUGCCCUCUGCACAUGUGAUCACAUCUCCCCUGCUUCUGACAUUUCAAAUACCCUCAGAAUGGUUUUCUGAUUCAGUCUGAAGGUUAUGGUACAUUCAGCUCAUCGUCAGACCUGACAAACCAUGUCUUCCCACAGCUGGUUCCACCUGUUGGUGUGUCCUCUUUCCUCCACCUCCAGGGAAGCUGCAUCUCCACACAAACUCCUCACUUGAGACGACUGUCUGUACCCGUGACACAGGAAAUCACAUCACUGUCACUCUCCUGAUACCAUCCGGGAAGCGGUACCGCAACAUAAAAGCCAGGACCAACAGGCUCCGGGACAGCUUCUUCCACCAGGCCGUCAGACUGAUGAACUCACGCUGAUUUGAGUGUACUCUAUAUUACGUUGUCUGUUUUAUUUAUUAUAAACUAUUAUAAAUUACUAUGAUUGCACGUUGCAUAAUUAGAUGGAGACGUAAUGUAAAGAUUUUUACACCUGAUGAAUGUAAGAAAUAAAUUCAAUUCAAUUCCUGAUUCCGUGUCUGAGCUGCUCGCCUCCGGGUAUCCUCCGUCAACAAGCUUCUUCCUCAGUCA